Pocillopora damicornis (cauliflower coral) is the source of this 166-nucleotide small nuclear RNA. RefSeq annotates it as U1 spliceosomal RNA. The record is from RefSeq and is a predicted model, not a curated record. NCBI's taxonomy places the organism in Eukaryota, Metazoa, Cnidaria, Anthozoa, Scleractinia, Pocilloporidae.
AUACUUACAAUGCACUGGAGCAACUGUGAUCAAGAAGGCAGUUCUCCCGAAGCGAGGCCAACUCACCACGCACAAACUGGCUGAGCUUCGCGUGUUUCCUACUCGAGUGGGUGGCGCGGUGUUAAAUUUUUGUUAGUCGGGCAAACCUGCGUUCGCGCUCGUUCGC